AUCCAAUCAGAAUUUUGCUGCAAUCAAAUUAAGCCUGUUAUAUAUAAUUGGCUGUUGUUUGAAACAUUAAGAGCAAAUCAAACAAACAGUUCUUUUAGGAAUGAACUUAUACAACAAAGAUGGACAAACAAAGAUAAUACAGCUCACAACAAGCAUAAUAAUUGGCACAAAAGGUGCAUCAGAAAUCGGCAAGAUUGUAUUGUACAAAACCUUAACAUGCACGUUCUACCGGCAUAUACAAUCAUGAUUAAACAAUGGGUAUUUGCAGACUACAAUACUACAAGUGAAUUUAACUUGCGUAUAUCAAGAUUUCCUAGGAACAAAACUUCCAUCAAAGAACUUCAGGGGUGAUAUUGCUCAAACUCUGACUUCACACGAAGCUCAAUACAACCCAUAGAAUCAAGGUAGCAAAAUUAAGCGAAAAAAGUUUAGGUGACAUUAUUUUAUUUUGAGCAUUGUACAUGACAAAUUACAAGUGAAUUAGUGAUAUUGCUUGCAGACCCUGUAACAUGUAAAUAAUAGCAGGUUUUCCUCUCUAUACAAUGAUCAUCGAACCCAAACCUGCAAAUGUGAUUGAACCAUGAU
Molecule: unclassified non-coding RNA, 585 nt
Filed under: Zea mays
Lineage: Eukaryota; Viridiplantae; Streptophyta; Magnoliopsida; Poales; Poaceae
Description: misc RNA Zm00001eb070370
Source: RNAcentral